CUGUGAGAGAAUUGAAGAUAAAUGAAUCCAUGGUUCACAAGUGGAGGAAGCUGGAAAACAAAUUCCAACAAGUCAAGAUGACGCAGCUGAGUUUCCACCGAAAAAAGGUGACUCGAGCAAUGGAUUAAUGAUGAGAAGAGCUGGAAAAGAGCGUCUCCAGUCCCCAUUCAACUGAGGGUAGUAACGCCUGCAGAGGGGGCUUAACCUUUCGCUUUUGCUGUUAUUUUUCCUUUCGGGCCAGGAUUACGGUGCCGCCGCGAAUUACAAUGAAAUGCUGUGCAUCUUCCGCUCAUACUGCAGUAAAAAGAUCGGGAGAACAGAAGCAUCACGGUAGCGGCAUGAUUGUCACCAGGAGACGGCUUCUGCAGAGCGGAUUUGACCUCCACUCACACUGCAUGUCAGAGCAGUUUCAACACUAGAUGGAGUCGGUCACAGAAAGGUGCUUCUCCACUAAACAAUAUUAAGCAAAGAAGAG
Oryzias latipes (Japanese medaka) is the source of this 475-nucleotide non-coding RNA. The record is from RefSeq and is a predicted model, not a curated record. NCBI's taxonomy places the organism in Eukaryota, Metazoa, Chordata, Actinopteri, Beloniformes, Adrianichthyidae.